AAUAGAUGACGCCGUUGACUUUUUCUCACAUGUUUGACCAUUCGUCUUAUUCAAAAAAUUUACGUAAUUAUAAUUUAUUUUGUUAUGAAUUGUUUUAUCACUUAUAGUACUUGAAGUAUGAUUUGUAUCUUAUACAUUUGCAUAAAAUUUUUGAGUAAGACGAAUAGUCAAACAUGUGAGAAAAGUCAACGGCGUCAUCUAUU
Molecule: microRNA precursor, 203 nt
Filed under: Oryza sativa Japonica Group (Japanese rice)
Lineage: Eukaryota; Viridiplantae; Streptophyta; Magnoliopsida; Poales; Poaceae
Description: MIR812 microRNA precursor family
Rfam family: MIR812 microRNA precursor family
Source: Rfam by way of RNAcentral